CAGCCGCCGCGGUAAUACGUAGGGGGCGAGCGUUGUCCGGAAUGAUUGGGCGUAAAGGGCGCGUAGGCGGCUGAUUAAGUCUGGAGUGGAAGUCCUAUUUUCAAGGUAGGAAUUGCUUUGGAAACUGAUCAGCUUGAGUGCAGGAGAGGUUAUCGGAAUUCCCGGUGUAGCGGUGAAAUGCGUAGAGAUCGGGAGGAACACCAGUGGCGAAGGCGGGUAACUGGACUGCAACUGACGCUGAGGCGCGAAAGUGUGGGGAGCAAACAGGAUUAGAUACCCUGGUAGUCCACACUGUAAACGAUGAAUGCUAGGUGUAGGGGGUAUCGACCCCUUCUGUGCCGCAGUAAACACAAUAAGCAUUCCGCCUGGGGAGUACGGUCGCAAGAUUAAAACUCAAAGGAAUUGACGGGGGCCCGCACAAGCAGCGGAGCAUGUGGUUUAAUUCGAAGCAACGCGAAGAACCUUACCAGGUCUUGACAUCCAGUAAAAGCUGUAGAGAUACAGUGUGCCUUCGGGCAUACUGAGACAGGAGGUGCAUGGCC
This 542-nucleotide ribosomal RNA is filed under the name uncultured archaeon. RNAcentral describes it as "bacterial SSU rRNA". It matches the Rfam family "Bacterial small subunit ribosomal RNA", at positions 509 to 1050 of the family's 1533-position model. The record is from RNAcentral.